AGCUCCAAUAGCGUAUAUUAAAGUUGUUGCAGUUAAAAAGCUCGUAGUCGGAUUUCGGGGCGGGUGUGCCGGUCUGCCGAUGGGUAUGUACUGGUGUGCGCGUCCUUUUUCCCGGAGACCGCGUCUCCUCUUAGCUGAGCGGGCGCGGGAGACGGGAUGUUUACUUUGAAAAAUCAGAGUGCUUCACGCAGGCAGCUUGCUCUUGCAUGGAUUAGCAUGGGAUAAUGAAAUAGGACUUUGGUGCUAUUUUGUUGGUUUCGAGCACCGGAGUAAUGAUUAACAGGGACAGUUAUGGGCACUGAUAUUCAGCCGAGAGAGGUGAAAUUCUCAGACCAGUUGAAGAUC
RNAcentral lists this ribosomal RNA (345 nucleotides) under uncultured eukaryote. Its description in RNAcentral is "SSU rRNA". It matches the Rfam family "Eukaryotic small subunit ribosomal RNA", at positions 587 to 937 of the family's 1831-position model. The record is from RNAcentral.